RNAcentral lists this ribosomal RNA (515 nucleotides) under uncultured bacterium. RNAcentral's name for it is "partial 16S ribosomal RNA". It matches the Rfam family "Bacterial small subunit ribosomal RNA", at positions 28 to 523 of the family's 1533-position model. The record is from RNAcentral.
GAUGAACGCUGGCGGCGUGCCUAAUACAUGCAAGUCGAGCGAAUGGAUUAAGAGCUUGCUCUUAUGAAGUUAGCGGCGGACGGGUGAGUAACACGUGGGUAACCUGCCCAUAAGACUGGGAUAACUCCGGGAAACCGGGGCUAAUACCGGAUAACAUUUUGAACCGCAUGGUUCGAAAUUGAAAGGCGGCUUCGGCUGUCACUUAUGGAUGGACCCGCGUGGCAUUAGCUAGUUGGUGAGGUAACGGUACACCAAGGCAACGAUGCGUAGCCGGCCUGAGAGGGUGAACGGCCACACUGGGACUGAGACACGGCCCAGACUCCUACGGGAGGCAGCAGUAGGGAAUCUUCCGCAAUGGACGAAAGUCUGACGGAGCAACGCCGCGUGAGUGAUGAAGGCUUUCGGGUCGUAAAACUCUGUUGUUAGGGAAGAACAAGUGCUAGUUGAAUAAGCUGGCACCUUGACGGUACCUAACCAGAAAGCCACGGCUAACUACGUGCCAGCCGCCGCGGUAA